Molecule: long non-coding RNA, 1038 nt
Organism: Aedes albopictus (Asian tiger mosquito)
Lineage: Eukaryota; Metazoa; Arthropoda; Insecta; Diptera; Culicidae
Exons: 2
Source: RefSeq, a predicted model, not a curated record
UCUUUAUUUCAGGAACUACUUCAGCAGAAGCGGCGAUCAAGGUACAAAAUACAUACAGCCAAGCACCAAGAUAAUUUAAUCUCUGUUUUCGCACUUCUUCUCCCACUACAAACGUAAAUAAUAAAUAUGUAUAUGUAUCGGUUUGUUUGAUCCAACGCCACCGGCUUGCGGCUUUUCCAACGCAACAGUGUGUUAUGCUGGAUUGUUGAUAGACAGAUAAACACAACCGUCCAUCGAGUGCAGUUGAUUCAACAUGUAUUUUGCAUUUCGUGCGUUCUGAACAGUGCAAAUAACGACCAACCAUGGGACUCUGCUGUUCAUGCCUGGAAGAUAAUACGCGGCCUAGCCGAGGAGGGGAAUCACCCCCUCCAUUUGUACAUGUUCAGCAGCCAAGGCCACAACAACGACAACAGCAAAUGGCCAACGGCCACAACCUGUUGAUCGAACCGAGGGUUGCCGUGAGGGUUGCUCCCAGGCCCAGAGAGCAGCUGCUGGUGAUCCUCGAAAUGCAGCAAUGUAUAGCAUGUGGUCAAGACGGUCAUACCAGGGAGACAUGUCGCUACCGGGAGAGACUUUGUUUCUAUUGUCGCGAGGAGGGCCACAUCAUUGCAGUUUGUCCGGCCAGAAGGCGCCAGCGACAGAGACGAGAGCAACGUAGACCCGUGCAGCGAAGACAGCGUAGACAGGCGGCUCUACGCUUCUAAAGUGCCAUUUCCAUAAACACUGUUUCCAAAGGAGUAGAAAAAGAUCUCCGUUUCAACCAUGUUUAGUCUAGUUUAAGCUAACCAUACGAGUAAAUGUAUUUAUUGCAUUGUCAGCAAUAUGCCAACAUCCAGAGAACGAUCGAUGUUAAGAUCGUUUAAGUUGAGUUUUGUUUAUCUGUUCAUGUUUGGUGGUGUUUGUCACUGUUUUUAACCUACCUCCAUGCGUGUGGGGAAAAUCCCGGACACUGAUCCGGGCACUCGUCGCACUCUGUGCCAUCGAAGAUUUCGUUGAUGAUCACCUGGAAUAAAUGAAAACAAAAGACUUUGUGAGAUA